AUCACCAUAAAAGUUUUAUCCAAACCAAACUAGGGAGAUGGAUAAAAGAUAAGUAUAAAAUAUUGGAUGGACAUAUUAAGUUUUCGACCUCCUCGUUCUUUAAUAUAUUCUUCAUCCUGUGUAAAGUCAUUUACUUCAAUAUUAGGUCAUGUGAUAUAUAUAUCACACAUUGUUGUCACCGAGUUGAAAUGUGUGUUGUCAUUUUUAAAACUAAAGCUUAUAUUAUAAAA
Molecule: long non-coding RNA, 230 nt
Filed under: Panax ginseng (ginseng)
Lineage: Eukaryota; Viridiplantae; Streptophyta; Magnoliopsida; Apiales; Araliaceae
Description: long non-coding RNA (PGIN_LNC019259)
Source: RNAcentral